GAGAUGGAUUUUUACUAAGGUGACCAUGCUUUGAGAUUUUCACCAUUUGAGUAAUUCCUCUGGGCUCUGCCACCCAGCAAGUUGAUGAGGACAGGAUUUCUCCUGGGGGAUCGUGGUUCUGGGAAUGUGAGCAGUUCUUGUUUUCACGAGAUCUGCACCCUGACCUGGCCUGC
Phyllostomus discolor (pale spear-nosed bat) is the source of this 173-nucleotide long non-coding RNA. RefSeq lists it as uncharacterized. The record is from RefSeq and is a predicted model, not a curated record. The transcript has 3 exons. NCBI's taxonomy places the organism in Eukaryota, Metazoa, Chordata, Mammalia, Chiroptera, Phyllostomidae.